UAUUGAAGGAGAGUAGAGUCAGGACAGGUGGGGUGAAAGGAUGUGAGGUCCUGGGCAAGAACUUGGCCAAAGAGAUGGGGGCUAUCCCUAAAUCCCUGUGGCCAAGUUCUUGCCCAGGACCUCACAUCCUUUCACCCCACCUGUCCUGACUCUACUCUCCUUCAAUAUGU
This 170-nucleotide microRNA precursor is filed under the name Marmota monax (woodchuck). Lineage: Eukaryota; Metazoa; Chordata; Mammalia; Rodentia; Sciuridae. The record is from RNAcentral.